RNAcentral lists this ribosomal RNA (491 nucleotides) under uncultured bacterium. RNAcentral describes it as "partial 16S ribosomal RNA". It matches the Rfam family "Bacterial small subunit ribosomal RNA", at positions 32 to 507 of the family's 1533-position model. The record is from RNAcentral.
AGUAACGCUGGCGGUAGGCCUAACACAUGCAAGUCGAACGGCAGCACAGUAAGAGCUUGCUCUUACGGGUGGCGAGUGGCGGACGGGUGAGGAAUACAUCGGAAUCUACUUUUUCGUGGGGGAUAACGUAGGGAAACUUACGCUAAUACCGCAUACGACCUACGGGUGAAAGCAGGGGAUCUUCGGACCUUGCGCGAUUGAAUGAGCCGAUGUCGGAUUAGCUAGUUGGCGGGGUAAAGGCCCACCAAGGCGACGAUCCGUAGCUGGUCUGAGAGGAUGAUCAGCCACACUGGAACUGAGACACGGUCCAGACUCCUACGGGAGGCAGCAGUGGGGAAUAUUGGACAAUGGGCGCAAGCCUGAUCCAGCCAUACCGCGUGGGUGAAGAAGGCCUUCGGGUUGUAAAGCCCUUUUGUUGGGAAAGAAAAGCAGCAGGUUAAUACCCCGCUGUUCUGACGGUACCCAAAGAAUAAGCACCGGCUAACUUCGUG